GUCUAUGGCCAUGCCACUCUGAACAAGCCCAAACCCAUCUGAUCUCAGAAGCUAAGCAGGGUCGGGCAUUGCUAGUACUUGGAAGGGAGACCACCUAGGAAGACCAGGUGCUGUUGGCG
Pteropus alecto (black flying fox) is the source of this 119-nucleotide non-coding RNA. The record is from Rfam. Lineage: Eukaryota; Metazoa; Chordata; Mammalia; Chiroptera; Pteropodidae.